AGAAAAGUAAGCUAAAUCAAGCUAAUGGGUUCAUACCCCAUUUAUAGAGGGUAGACCUCUCUUCUCUA
RNAcentral lists this transfer RNA (68 nucleotides) under Haplosymploce aurantiaca. Its description in RNAcentral is "tRNA-Met". Lineage: Eukaryota; Metazoa; Arthropoda; Insecta; Blattodea; Blattellidae. The record is from RNAcentral.